AUUGAACGCUGGCGGCAGGCCUAACACAUGCAAGUCGAACGGUAACAGGAAGCAGCUUGCUGCUUUGCUGACGAGUGGCGGACGGGUGAGUAAUGUCUGGGAAACUGCCUGAUGGAGGGGGAUAACUACUAGAAACGGUAGCUAAUACCGCAUAACGUCGCAAGACCAAAGAGGGGGACCUUAGGGCCUCUUGCCAUCGGAUGUGCCCAGAUGGGAUUAGCUAGUAGGUGGGGUAACGGCUCACCUAGGCGACGAUCCCUAGCUGGUCUGAGAGGAUGACCAGCCACACUGGAACUGAGACACGGUCCAGACUCCUACGGGAGGCAGCAGUGGGGAAUAUUGCACAAUGGGCGCAAGCCUGAUGCAGCCAUGCCGCGUGUAUGAAGAAGGCCUUCGGGUUGUAAAGUACUUUCAGCGGGGAGGAAGGGAGUAAAGUUAAUACCUUUGCUCAUUGACGUUACCCGCAGAAGAAGCACCGGCUAACUCCGUG
RNAcentral lists this ribosomal RNA (490 nucleotides) under uncultured bacterium. RNAcentral describes it as "partial 16S ribosomal RNA". It matches the Rfam family "Bacterial small subunit ribosomal RNA", at positions 30 to 507 of the family's 1533-position model. The record is from RNAcentral.